AGUGAACGCUGGCGGUAGGCCUAACACAUGCAAGUCGAACGGCAGCACAGUAAGAGCUUGCUCUUACGGGUGUCGAGUGGCGGACGGGUGAGGAAUACAUCGGACUCUACUUUUUCGUGGGGGAUAACGUAGGGAAACUUACGCUAAUACAGCAUACGACCUACGGGUGAAAGCAGGGGAUCUUCGGACCUUGCGCGAUUGAAUGAGCCGAUGUCGGAUUAGCUAGUUGGCGGGGUAAAGGCCCACCAAGGCGACGAUCCGUAGCUGGUCUGAGAGGAUGAUCAGCCACACUGGAACUGAGACACGGUCAAGACUCCUACGGGAGGCAGCAGUGGGGAAUAUUGGACAAUGGGCGCAAGCCUGAUCCAGCCAUACCGCGUGGGUGAAGAAGGCCUUCGGGUUGUAAAGCCCUUUUGUUGGGAAAGAAAAGCAGCAGGUUAAUACCCCGCUGUUCUGACGGUACCCAAAGAAUAAGCACCGGCUAACUUCGUG
RNAcentral lists this ribosomal RNA (492 nucleotides) under uncultured bacterium. RNAcentral's name for it is "partial 16S ribosomal RNA". It matches the Rfam family "Bacterial small subunit ribosomal RNA", at positions 29 to 507 of the family's 1533-position model. The record is from RNAcentral.